UCGCGGCUGACUUUUUGGUUCCGCUCAACGAAACUCAAGAUUUCCUCAGGCGGCGCGCGGUGUUGUGGAAAAUAAUGCUUCUGUUGGUUUGUUGAUGGUGAAAUUUCUGAGUUUUAAUUCUUAACAUCACCGGAAGAAGCAUAGGUACCUUCUCGUUUUCAGUCACCACCUUUUAUGUUUAACUACUGGCCGUGCGAGCUCGCCAAAGUCUGUUGUUUGUAAAAUCAUCGCUGUUUUUACUGAAGUUGAGUAAAGACAUUCUUGAAAUUGUAAAGACAUUUAGUUUAAUUGCUAAACUACAAGUGAACGAAAUUUUAAUAAAUUUGAACGACUACCACAUGUGGUUUUACCUCUACCAAAAUCUGUUUGAAUGGUAAAGAAUGGGACGCAGCCGUAUAUAGCCAUGUAGUAGAUGUCUGUAUAUAUAGACUGAAUAAAGAGUGUUAUUUGGUGUAAUUAGUGGUUUGUUUUUUUUAUAUAUCUGACUUUUCAGAAGUAGAAUAUGUAGAGGAUAUGGCAAACAGCUUAUCCUGAAAGAUUCAGGUCAAUAUCUUAAAAUUUUAAAAAGUAAUAGCUAAAAACGUCAUAAUUUUCAUGAUUCGGUCACACAUUUUCUUGAAUUUUAAUGGAAAACAUGGGACCAAAUAAAGUGAUGAUUUUCGCGUUUCAAAUGGCCAGUAUUUUGUUAUUCUUUAACCCAUAUACAUGAUCUUGGUCUCAUUUAAAAGCUUUUUUCAAGCUCUUUCUAUCUGAACAACUCGUUUUAGCAUUUAACCAUUUUGAAAAUUUUAGCAACAUACCUAUUUUAAAAGCAUCUUUAAACUUUAAAAACAUGUUGUUUGUCGUGACUCUUCAUUGUAAUACUGUCUCGGUUAAGGAAAUUUGUGUAAUGUUACCACGAGACAACGCGACAUUGACACAGCAAUAUUACCUCAGACUUCCUCUUUAAAGCAUCGUUAAACUUUAAAAACAUGUUGUUUGUCGUGACUUUUCAUUGUAAUACUGUCUCGGUUACAGUAAUUUGUGUAAUGUUGGACAUACGACGAGACACAGCAAUAUUGCCUCAGACUCAUUUUAUCAGCAGAUUAAUGUGCACUGAGUACACCACAGUUCUGUAACGUUAAGUGGAAAAUUAAUUCAUAUAUUAUGUGUUUUCUCUCUCAGUAAGGACUAACGUUAACUGUCUGUCUGUCUGUCUGUCUGUCUGUUCUCAACCAAACAAUCAUUCAAGACAUUUUAAAGGUUAUGUUACCACGUUUAUUCAUUUAUUUGUUUUGUUGCGAGUACACCACAGUUUUGUAAGUGGAAAAUUAAUUCAUAUUUGUGUGUUUUCUCACUGUUUAGCACAAACAUUUCCCGGGCAAGUUUGAAUUUCUCUCAGUGAGUACUGACGGACAGCUCUUCACUCAUAAAACAUUUUAAAGCACAAGCAUUUCCCGCGCAAGUUUGAAUUUCUCUCAGUAAGGACUGACGGAUUAGCCUGGCUCCGCCCUCCUACGUGCGUCCGCUUAAUUUUCAUUUCGCUUCAGUACUAGGUCUGGGACUGCUGUGUAGAGUUUCGUUUUCUCUUUCUUUAAAGGUUAGCAUGAAUGCGUCCAGCAUAAUUUUGGAUCUUUACCAUUGAGGAGACUGGCUGACUGUUCUCGACCAACCAUCAUUCACACACAAAAACUUUAGAGGUAAGUACGAACGUGUCUUUACCAUUGAGGAGGCUGACUGACUUUCAUCUACCAACCGUCAUUAACACAACAAAAACUAAAGAAAUGUUACUACAAGUGGACCUAUUUAUUUACUCAUCAUGCUGUAAGUACACCACAGUUUUGUCAGUGAAAAAAUUAUAUUUGAGUUUUCUCACUGCUUGGCGUAGACAAAUGUGACCCUGUGUAAUUUGGAAAUUUCAUAGGAAAAGUGUAUGUCUUAAUGUU
This is a non-coding RNA of Misgurnus anguillicaudatus (oriental weatherfish), 1925 nucleotides long. The record is from RefSeq and is a predicted model, not a curated record. NCBI's taxonomy places the organism in Eukaryota, Metazoa, Chordata, Actinopteri, Cypriniformes, Cobitidae.